CUUGGUCAUUUAGAGGAAGUAAAAGUCGUAACAAGGUUUCCGUAGGUGAACCUGCGGAAGGAUCAUUACCUAGAGUUUGUAGACUUCGGUCUGCUACCUCUUACCCAUGUCUUUUGAGUACCUUCGUUUCCUCGGCGGGUCCGCCCGCCGAUUGGACAACAUUCAAACCCUUUGCAGUUGCAAUCAGCGUCUGAAAAAACAUAAUAGUUACAACUUUCAACAACGGAUCUCUUGGUUCUGGCAUCGAUGAAGAACGCAGCGAAAUGCGAUAAGUAGUGUGAAUUGCAGAAUUCAGUGAAUCAUCGAAUCUUUGAACGCACAUUGCGCCCCUUGGUAUUCCAUGGGGCAUGCCUGUUCGAGCGUCAUUUGUACCUUCAAGCUCUGCUUGGUGUUGGGUGGUUGUCUCGCCUCUGCGUGUAGACUCGCCUUAAAACAAUUGGCAGCCGGCGUAUUGAUUUCGGAGCGCAGUACAUCUCGCGCUUUGCACUCAUAACGACGACGUCCAAAAGUACAUUUUUUACACUCUUGACCUCGGAUCAGGUAGGGAUACCCGCUGAACUUAAGCAUAUCAAUAAGCGGAGGAAAAGAAACCAACAGGGAUUGCCCUAGUAACGGCGAGUGAAGCGGCAACAGCUCAAAUUUGAAAUCUGGCGUCUUUGGCGUCCGAGUUGUAAUUUGCAGAGGGCGCUUUGGCAUUGGCAGCGGUCCAAGUUCCUUGGAACAGGACGUCACAGAGGGUGAGAAUCCCGUACGUGGUCGCUAGCCUUUACCGUGUAAAGCCCCUUCGACGAGUCGAGUUGUUUGGGAAU
Molecule: small RNA, 809 nt
Filed under: uncultured Psiloglonium
Lineage: Eukaryota; Fungi; Ascomycota; Dothideomycetes; Hysteriales; Hysteriaceae
Description: eukaryotic LSU rRNA
Rfam family: Eukaryotic large subunit ribosomal RNA (bases 527-809)
Source: RNAcentral